CCUACGGGUGGCUGCAGUGGGGAAUUUUGGACAAUGGGGGCAACCCUGAUCCAGCCAUGCCGCGUGCGGGAAGAAGGCCUUCGGGUUGUAAACCGCUUUUAGCCGGGAAGAAAAGGCGAGGGAUAACACCCUUCGUUCUUGACGGUACCGGCGGAAUAAGCACCGGCUAACUACGUGCCAGCAGCCGCGGUAAUACGUAGGGUGCGAACGUGGAGCAGAGUGUGCGGAGGCGGUGCGUGCGGAGGGGGGUGAAAGCCCCGGGCUCAACCUGGGAAUGGCAUUGGAUACUGGCGGGCUUGAGUGUGGCAGAGGUGGGUGGAAUUCCGCGUGUAGCAGUGAAAUGCGUAGAGAUGCGGAGGAACACCGAUGGCGAAGGCAGCCCCCUGGGCUGACACUGACGCUCAGGCACGAAAGCGUGGGGAGCAAACAGGAUUAGAUACCCUAGUAGUC
This 450-nucleotide ribosomal RNA is filed under the name uncultured bacterium. RNAcentral's name for it is "partial 16S ribosomal RNA". It matches the Rfam family "Bacterial small subunit ribosomal RNA", at positions 338 to 795 of the family's 1533-position model. The record is from RNAcentral.